AGUAGUGAAGUAAAAAUUACACUUAGCUUCGACCUAAGCAUUAGAGUUAAAUCUCCUUACUU
This 62-nucleotide transfer RNA is filed under the name Hospesneotomae nitida. RNAcentral's name for it is "Triatoma nitida tRNA-Arg". The record is from RNAcentral. Lineage: Eukaryota; Metazoa; Arthropoda; Insecta; Hemiptera; Reduviidae.